Molecule: ribosomal RNA, 253 nt
Filed under: uncultured bacterium
Lineage: Bacteria
Description: partial 16S ribosomal RNA
Rfam family: Bacterial small subunit ribosomal RNA
Source: RNAcentral
UACGUAGGGUGCGAGCGUUAAUCGGAAUUACUGGGCGUAAAGCGUGCGCAGGCGGUUGGUCGAGUCUGCUGUGAAAGCCCCGGGCUUAACCUGGGAACGGCAUUGGAGACUGGUCGGCUAGAGUGCGGCAGAGGGGGGUAGAAUUCCACGUGUAGCAGUGAAAUGCGUAGAGAUGUGGAGGAAUACCGAUGGCGAAGGCAGCCCCCUGGGAUGACACUGACGCUCAUGCACGAAAGCGUGGGGAGCAAACAGG